Molecule: small RNA, 108 nt
Filed under: Vibrio aquimaris
Lineage: Bacteria; Pseudomonadati; Pseudomonadota; Gammaproteobacteria; Vibrionales; Vibrionaceae
Description: Qrr RNA
Rfam family: Qrr RNA
About the family: This family represents a set of small RNAs (the Qrr RNAs) that are thought to be involved in the regulation of quorum sensing in Vibrio species.
Source: Rfam by way of RNAcentral
UGACCCUCUAGAAUCAGAGAGUCACCUAGCCAACUGACGUUGUUAGUGAAUGAUGAAUUGUUCACAGUUUCAUAGCCAAUCUCACCUAUUGAGAUUGGUUUUUUUCAU